Long non-coding RNA from Hippocampus comes (tiger tail seahorse), 1070 nucleotides. RefSeq lists it as uncharacterized. The record is from RefSeq and is a predicted model, not a curated record. NCBI's taxonomy places the organism in Eukaryota, Metazoa, Chordata, Actinopteri, Syngnathiformes, Syngnathidae. The transcript is spliced from 4 exons.
CCGCACACCGUCAUCAUUGCCCAACAUCCCCCUCGUGUGUCUUAUUUCUAGAUAGCACACAAAAGUUUGUUGACGGUUACUUUUCGUCUAAUGUAUACAGAGAGAAAACGUAACCACCAGUUUGGCAGCGUGUUGGACACCUAACAAGCUGGCCCUGCUGACUGACUGGAAUUCUGCUGGCGAAGUACAAUGUCUGCCUUCCCUCUCAGCAGCUUCUUUAAUGAGGACCUUGACAAUGAAGUGGCACAGCUUGCCGCGAAGGAUUUCGCAUCCCCGAAACUUGUCUGAACUCCGUCUCCCUCUGAAGAUCCAAGAGCGUCGUCGCUCCGAAAACAUCCACUUCAUGACGGCCUUCCGACAAAAAUUUGUUCCACUUUGAAAAGGUGUUGCAGUAAUGGAGGAUGAAAGCGGAGAAGAUGAGAGGAAACAGAUGAGGAAAAAUGAAGUCGACCAAGUGCCACGCCACCCCGAGACCUGGCUUUCACUGUAAUGAUUCCAGAGUGUCAAUAUGUAUUACUCGAGCUCCAUUAGCUCAGCUUGUGUUCCAUUAGCAUGUGUGCGGAUGCUCCACGUGACCUUCACAGUCGCUGGUGGGUCGUCGUCCAAUACAUCACUGCGCAUGACCCGUUAAAAAAGUGAAAAGUGGAACGUGGAUGUGUUUAGCAUCCGACAAGGUGACGAGGACAAAUCGGUCAAUUUGAGGACAUGUCAUUGGGUUAUUACCGAAUGAAAAUGAGGAAACGUCAUUUUUUUGGGAAGACUUUUUACACAUACACGCACUUACAGGAGUCACAUGAUUGCUAAUAAUUGUCGAACAAUAAUGAAGGGCGUGAACAGAUGCCGAUGAUCCCAAUUUACUGGAAGUAAAUCUGCCGCUUGUGCGCUUAUACAGUCCUAAUGAUGUCUUCCAUCAAUCUGCUUUUGCUCAUCGAGUAACAGUACUCGGAGUCGUUUUUUGGUGGGGGGAGGCGACUAAUGUCUCCGCUCGCCUUUGCUGCUGCGCCGCCCAAGAUUCAAUUUAUUAUCCGCAUGAAUCGUGCGGGUUUUAUCGCCGUACCCCAUGCCUAAAA